Molecule: non-coding RNA, 45 nt
Filed under: Schistosoma mansoni
Lineage: Eukaryota; Metazoa; Platyhelminthes; Trematoda; Strigeidida; Schistosomatidae
Source: RNAcentral
AUUUAGAUGACGAGUCCCAUAUAGGACGAAACGUGGGUCCUAGAU